CAGUAGACGGCAGCACUGCGGACCGCGCGUAUCGCAGUUCUCGUCAGAGCUUCUUAACGCGCUUUUCUUCGUAAAAUUCGUGGCCGUAGUUGUCCUCGUCGUUGUCGUCGUCGUCGUCGUCGUCGUUUUUGUCGUCGGCGCUAAAGCUUAAUACUUAUUGGAAUUUUUGCCCAUUUUUUUUUUUUUUAAAUCGCGACCUAACCUCUUCGAUUAAUCGCUCGAGAGGAGGAAGACUAAUCAUCCCCUUCAACCCCCCACCCCCUACUUUUCUCUCUUUCGGAGUAUAUCUAUAUAUAUAUAUACACUACUUAUAGUUCAACCUUUUAAACUCUCCUCUCCCUAAUUGUAACAACCAUCGCGUUGUAAAAACCCUAGCAUCCCCCGACCCCUUUUCUCAUAGCCAAUAACAUUUUGCGAGAUAUUUUUUUGUCUCUUUUAUCCUGUUUUUCCUAUUUGAUUUUAAUUCGUUUUUGUUAUUGUUGCAAUUUCGAGGAUAUUGAAUAAAGUUAUUUGUAAUAAAAUAUGAUUAAUGUAACGGAAAGUUGUUUGAUUUGAAUCGAGGAAACAAGAUAAUACCUUAGACGACAAAACCAACGAAAGUUAUUGGGAAGGAUGAUGUGCCGUCGGUAAAAUAAAUCGUUCGAAACCCGACCCGCCAUUUUUGUUUUUCCACGCGUUAAACGUAAUUUUUUUUAUUAUUCUGGUGCCGGUCAGAUGUGAUACGAAUUUUUGUCGAUUUUAUUAUCAUUAUUAUUAUUAUUAUUCGAAUGAAAUUGCAACGAACGGCCGGUCGUGACGUCGGCUAAACGAUAGUUUUUAUUUUUUUUUUUAUUUUUUUCGUUUCCCUUUAGAUUUUGGUUAAUUUUUCGUCAUUCAUACGAAUUCGUAGCGUAAUUUUUUCACGUGUGUUUUGUGACCAAUGAAGGGUAUAUGAAAAAUAAAUAUUCAAUUGAAGAUCUAAUUGUAUGACGAGA
RNAcentral lists this long non-coding RNA (974 nucleotides) under Polistes fuscatus (common paper wasp). RNAcentral describes it as "uncharacterized LOC122513375". Lineage: Eukaryota; Metazoa; Arthropoda; Insecta; Hymenoptera; Vespidae. The record is from RNAcentral.